The submitters of this non-coding RNA (97 nucleotides) gave its source as unclassified sequences. The record is from Rfam.
UUACCUUAUAUUUGCUCCCGCUAACCAAGACCUAUGGGAGGGUAAAUUACGUCUUUCAUAUCCAUCAGUGAAGGGAUUGAUGGAAAUAUAGUAUCGC